UACGUAGGGGGCAAGCAUUGUCCGGAUUUACUGGGCGUAAAGAGCGUGUAGGCGGCCAAACAGGUCCGUUGUGAAAACUGGAGGCUCAACCUCCAGACGUCGACGGAAACCGUGUGGCUAGAGUCCGGAAGAGGAGAGUGGAAUUCCUGGUGUAGCGGUGAAAUGCGCAGAUAUCAGGAAGAACACCAAUGGCGAAGGCAGCUCUCUGGGACGGUACUGACGCUGAGACGCGAAAGCGUGGGGAGCGAACAGG
Molecule: ribosomal RNA, 253 nt
Filed under: uncultured bacterium
Lineage: Bacteria
Description: partial 16S ribosomal RNA
Rfam family: Bacterial small subunit ribosomal RNA
Source: RNAcentral